Long non-coding RNA from Colossoma macropomum (tambaqui), 915 nucleotides. RefSeq lists it as uncharacterized. The record is from RefSeq and is a predicted model, not a curated record. NCBI's taxonomy places the organism in Eukaryota, Metazoa, Chordata, Actinopteri, Characiformes, Serrasalmidae. The transcript is spliced from 9 exons.
ACCUUGGGGUCCUGGUAGCAGUUUUUGGUUCAUUGCUGCUAGGCUAAGUCGGCGGGCGUAUUGGUGUCAGCAUUUCUUGUUGGAACCGCGGGUUCAGUUUUUAUUACGUCAAGUGAUGGCAGAUAUGUGUCAUGUAUGGCUACUGUAUUAAAUGCUACAUACGCUGACAGCAGUCCACUGCCUCCGUGGGAAUGGUGUGACAAAGAACGAAACCUGACUGCUGCCCAGAAGAAAGCAGAGAGAGCAUAUAUCUGGGUCUAAGGGGACAGGUUUUGGCCUCCUUCUCUUAUGCUCAAUUGCAAUACUGUGUCUUGAAUACUUCUUGAAUCGACAUUCUGGAGCACCCAAUCCACAGAUAGUGGCAGAGCAGGGAAAUGCUGGGGCACAGAGGAGGGGCGAUAUUGAAAUGGAUGAAAGGCAGAGACCUGCUGGGACGGAGGAAAGCACUAGACAGCAGGCACAUGCCGGGGUAGAGCAGGGUAUUGCUGUUACAGAGACUGCGGCAGAACAGGGUGCUGAUGAGACACAGGCCGCAGGAGAACAGGGCACUGAUGAGACACAGGCUGGGGAAGAGUCUGAAACGGAUCCACUGCAGGGCACAGACAGGACAUAGGAAAGCAGAAAAUAGCAGACAUCUACACAUAAAUUUAGAUGCUGAACUGUCAUCAAAGUCUGCACAGCUUUUUAGAACAAAGAGCUAACAAGAAAGCAUCACUUAAUCACUGUAACAUUUUAUCCUCUUUGAAAUCUUUAUGCUUUUUAUGAGUAGACAUUUUUUGCAUCAUGUUUAUGUUCUUUUGUUUGUGAUUUACUGGAGGAAAGAUGGUUAUUUUCAAACUUAAACUUUUACACAGUUAUAACAGUUACUUUUUUUCUGAAUGUUGUGUUUAAUGGCUUUUCCUGAAGUUUUAAUUU